UAUUUCUUCAUGAACGGCUCUCUUCCACCAAGGAUGACCGAGAGCCUCUUGUAUAUUGUUGGGAACAUGUAGAUUAUCUAAAGAAGAAACAAAGGCUCGGUAUGAUGAGGACAAACCAUCAUAUGAGACAUAUUUGGCAAUUGGAUGAGUGGUGCAACUUCGAACCCCCUUUCUUUCUGCAAUUGAUUUAUUAGAAUCAUCAACACUUGGAACCAUGAACUCAACCGAGGCAAGACUAUCCAUACCUGUGUUGUCUUCACAAGAGCUUAGAUUUGGUUCAGUUUCUUGGACAUGUGGCUGAGUUCCGUGCUCUAUCUGCUCUCUAGUUCUUCUCCUCCUAUAAACAUUGAGAUUAUCAACAGCAAGCUGUGGACGAGGUGAGAUUAGAGGCUGUAGUUGAUGAGCUGAUGGAUGACGGGGUGACACAGCUGAUUGUGGUUGGGAGGACUUCUUGGAACCAUGAACUCAACCGAGGCAAGACUAUCCAUACCUGUGUUGUCUUCACAAGAGCUUAGAUUUGGUUCAGUUUCUUGGACAUGUGGCUGAGUUCCGUGCUCUAUCUGCUCUCUAGUUCUUCUCCUCCUAUAAACAUUGAGAUUAUCAACAGCAAGCUGUGGACGAGGUGAGAUUAGAGGCUGUAGUUGAUGAGCUGAUGGAUGACGGGGUGACUCGGCUGAUUGUGGUUGGGAGGACUCAGAUGACUCAAAAGGUUGUGAAGAUGUUGGGAGGAUUGCUGAUUGUGGCUGUUGGAUAGAUUGAUCAUGUGUGGUGGUUGAGUUAUGAGGGUUUUCAUGAGGGGUUUCCAGCCAAGAUUGCCAAGAAGAUUCCCAAGGCUGAUGUUCGCUCGUACUCUCUCCCUGAACAGCAGUUUUGGAAUAGAAAGGCAGGUUUUCAACAAAUGUUACAUCUCUGGAAAUGUAUAUUUUUCUGGUGUGAGGAGAAUAGCAUUUGUAUCCUUUUUUAUGUGGAGAAUAGCCUAAAAAUAUACACUUGAGAGAUCGGGGAUCAAGUUUAGUCCUGUGUUGAGAGUGAACAUGGACAUAUGCUGUGCAACCGAAUAUUUUUUGUGGUAAAUCUGCUGAAACAAUCCUAGUGUGUGGAAAGAAAUUGAGAAGAACUUUUCUUGGGCAAUGAAACCCCAAGACUCUAGAAGGCAUUCGGUUGAUUAAGUAGGCUGCAGUGAGAACAGCUUCACCCCAGAAAAAAUUAGGAACAUGAGAUGAGAACAAAAGACAGCGAGCCACUUCAAGAAGGUGUCUGUUUUUGCGUUCAGCGACCCCAUUUUGUUGCGGGGUGUCAACACAAGAACUGAUGUGAAGAAUGCCUUGAUGGAGAAGAUAUGAGCUGAGGGAGUCUUUGAAAUAUUCCUUGGCAUUGUCGGUUUUAAGGACUUGGAUCUUGGUAUUGAAUCGGGUUUGAAUCAUGGCGUUAAAGUUUUGGAAGAUUUGACUAACUUCGGAUUUGUUUUUCAUGAGAAACACCCAAGUGAGACGAGUAUGAUCAUCCACAAAUGACAAAAACCAGCGAGCCCCAGAAACAUUUUUAAUUCUUGAGGGACCCCACACAUCACUGUGAAUUAAAGCAAAUGGAC
Molecule: long non-coding RNA, 1591 nt
Filed under: Citrus sinensis (sweet orange)
Lineage: Eukaryota; Viridiplantae; Streptophyta; Magnoliopsida; Sapindales; Rutaceae
Description: long non-coding RNA (CSIN_LNC001495)
Source: RNAcentral